CCGGACUCCUAGCAGCAUUCAGCGAGCUCUGGACAGUGGUUCAGUGGGAAACAGGCUGUCUUUGUAAGCCUAGUGAAGAUGGUUUCAUCCUCAAGAGAUGACGCACUUACCGAAGAUAACAGGAGAGGACGAAAGUGACCAUCAUCCUGGUUCUCCUAUAGACUGUCCAGGUUAUGGCACCAGAAGUCCUGGUUCCAGCAAAUCUCUCAGUCCCAGGCAAACCAGGACACCCAUCACCCCAGAUAAGAUCCCAAAGUUGAUGAGAAGACUGCGUCUUCAAGGUAAAGUAAAAGGUCCAAAGACACAGAGCUCAAAGGUAGAGGAGCCAGUAUCC
This is a long non-coding RNA of Mustela erminea (ermine), 334 nucleotides long. RefSeq lists it as uncharacterized. NCBI's taxonomy places the organism in Eukaryota, Metazoa, Chordata, Mammalia, Carnivora, Mustelidae. The transcript is spliced from 3 exons. The record is from RefSeq and is a predicted model, not a curated record.